This 388-nucleotide ribosomal RNA is filed under the name uncultured bacterium. RNAcentral describes it as "bacterial SSU rRNA". It matches the Rfam family "Bacterial small subunit ribosomal RNA", at positions 30 to 417 of the family's 1533-position model. The record is from RNAcentral.
AUUGAACGCUGGCGGCAUGCCUUACACAUGCAAGUCGAACGGCAGCACGGGAGCAAUCCUGGUGGCGAGUGGCGAACGGGUGAGUAAUAUAUCGGAACGUGCCCAGUCGUGGGGAUAACGUAGCGAAAGCUACGCUAAUACCGCAUACGAUCUAUGGAUGAAAGCGGGGGAUCGCAAGACCUCGCGCGAUUGGAGCGGCCGAUAUCAGAUUAGGUAGUUGGUGAGGUAAAGGCUCACCAAGCCGACGAUCUGUAGCUGGUCUGAGAGGACGACCAGCCACACUGGGACUGAGACACGGCCCAGACUCCUACGGGAGGCAGCAGUGGGGAAUUUUUGGACAAUGGGCGAACAGCCUGAUCCAGCAAUGCCGCGUGCAGGAUGAAGGGCC